Molecule: ribosomal RNA, 549 nt
Filed under: Hylemonella sp.
Lineage: Bacteria; Pseudomonadati; Pseudomonadota; Betaproteobacteria; Burkholderiales; Comamonadaceae
Description: bacterial SSU rRNA
Rfam family: Bacterial small subunit ribosomal RNA
Source: RNAcentral
CGGGUGAGUAAUACAUCGGAACGUGCCCAGACGUGGGGGAUAGCUCGGCGAAAGCCGGAUUAAUACCGCAUAAGCUCUGAGGAGGAAAGCGGGGGACCGUAAGGCCUCGCGCGUUUGGAGCGGCCGAUGGCAGAUUAGGUAGUUGGUGGGGUAAAGGCUUACCAAGCCUACGAUCUGUAGCUGGUCUGAGAGGACGACCAGCCACACUGGGACUGAGACACGGCCCAGACUCCUACGGGAGGCAGCAGUGGGGAAUUUUGGACAAUGGGCGAAAGCCUGAUCCAGCAAUGCCGCGUGCAGGAUGAAGGCCUUCGGGUUGUAAACUGCUUUUGUACGGAACGAAAAGGCGCCUAUUAAUACUGGGUGUUGAUGACGGUACCGUAAGAAUAAGCACCGGCUAACUACGUGCCAGCAGCCGCGGUAAUACGUAGGGUGCGAGCGUUAAUCGGAAUUACUGGGCGUAAAGCGUGCGCAGGCGGUGUUGUAAGACAGUUGUGAAAUCCCCGGGCUCAACCUGGGAACUGCAUCUGUGACUGCAAUGCUGGAGUG